This 250-nucleotide ribosomal RNA is filed under the name uncultured bacterium. RNAcentral's name for it is "partial 16S ribosomal RNA". It matches the Rfam family "Bacterial small subunit ribosomal RNA", at positions 779 to 1027 of the family's 1533-position model. The record is from RNAcentral.
UAGAUACCCUGGUAGUCCACGCCCUAAACGAUGCGAACUGGAUGUUGGUCUCAACUCGGAGAUCAGUGUCGAAGCUAACGCGUUAAGUUCGCCGCCUGGGGAGUACGGUCGCAAGACUGAAACUCAAAGGAAUUGACGGGGGCCCGCACAAGCGGUGGAGUAUGUGGUUUAAUUCGAUGCAACGCGAAGAACCUUACCUGGCCUUGACAUGUCUGGAAUCCUGCAGAGAUGCGGGAGUGCCUUCGGGAAU